RNAcentral lists this transfer RNA (71 nucleotides) under Marmota monax (woodchuck). Its description in RNAcentral is "tRNA.Ala". The stretch from base 8 to 66 matches the Rfam family "tRNA", at positions 6 to 65 of the family's 71-position model. Rfam says of the family: Transfer RNA (tRNA) molecules are approximately 80 nucleotides in length. Their secondary structure includes four short double-helical elements and three loops (D, anti-codon, and T loops). Lineage: Eukaryota; Metazoa; Chordata; Mammalia; Rodentia; Sciuridae. The record is from RNAcentral.
GACUGGGUGUAGCUCACUGGUAGAGCCAGUGCUUAGCAUGCACAGGACCUGGGUUCAACCCCAGCAAGACA